Long non-coding RNA from Xiphophorus hellerii (green swordtail), 3117 nucleotides. RefSeq lists it as uncharacterized. NCBI's taxonomy places the organism in Eukaryota, Metazoa, Chordata, Actinopteri, Cyprinodontiformes, Poeciliidae. The record is from RefSeq and is a predicted model, not a curated record. The transcript has 6 exons.
UUGGUAAAUACUCUCCUUCAACAAAUAGUCAGUUUGGAAGUGUUAUAGAAAGGCUGUAUUUUAACUGUUGUCUGACUGUCAUCUUCUGCUCAUCUUCAUCAGCUUGUAUUUGGUGGAUUAUUGCUCUGCACUCGCAGAGAAAAUCUUCAGAAUUAUCUGUCACACCACCUCAAAUAGACAUGGCUAUAAUCUCUGGAUGUAAGGAUCAGGGACAUCUCUCCAGGCUGCAGUCGUUGGAGGCAAAGCUUGAGUACCUUCUACCACAAGCAGAUCUGUGGCCCAACUUUGCUCUGGAGUCUCAAGGAGCAACGAUUUUACACAAGAUGACCUCACAAACAUUUCAGAGCUAUAAAAUGUGUAGAAUGUUUGGUGCAUCUUUUAGGCUACCAAAUUUUGGCCCAGACAUUGUUAUUAAGGUCUGAAUGACACUCAAAUCAUUAAAAAUCAAUGUUAGGAAAAGUGGUGUGUCUUGUUGAUAUAGUAUUAGGCUUUACGGUUUUCUUUUCUCUUAGUCAUGGUACCCCACCUAAACUUUGUUUUGUUCUCUGUCUUCAGGGAAGAUCUCAGUUGAAUCCAGGACAAUGCUGGGCCUUUGCAGGCUUCCCAGGACGUUUAUCCAUCUCACUGUCCCACAAAGCCACCAUCACUCAUGUGUCGCUGGGUCAUAUUCCCAAGAUUGUUUCCCCAACUGCGUCAGUCUCCAGUGCUCCUAAAGAAUUUUCUGUCUAUGGAAAGAAGAAUUUAGAAGAUGAGAGUCAUUUGGGAACUUUCCUAUACGAUGAAGGUGGCGACCAAAUACAGACCUUCAAAGUUCCUGCCAAUAAAGUUGGUUCCUUCAACCAUGUCACGCUAAAGGUGAUCAGCAAUUGGGGUAAUCCGGAUUAUACCUGCUUGUAUAACUUUAGAAUUCAUGGGGAACUUUCCAAUUGAUGACAACAAGGAGGAAAACGAUAAAAGAUAUGGAGAAAAAUAUUUUUUUCCCCUUUCAUAUAUUUCUUUUGUAUAUGUUUAUAUAAUUAAUUUUAAGUCCUCACAAAAGACAGACACACCAGUCAACCAUAAGUAGAUAAACAAAUGAAGAAGGAAAAAUAACACACGCAUAUGCACACAGGCCCUCAGACAGGUAUAACAGGAACCAAUUACUUGUAAGUCUAGAUUUUGUUCUAAUGGACUGAAAUGAGGGCUGCACAAUGGCGCAGUUGGCAGAACUGUUGCCUUGCAGAAAAAAAGUGGUAUGCGUGGGUUCUUUCCGGGUGCUCCGGCUUCCUCCCACAGUAAAAACAUGACUGUCAGGUUAAUUGGUCUGUCUAAAAUCUCCUUAGAUGUGAUUGAUUGUUGAUUGUCCUGUCUCUCUCUAAAUAGAGCAGGAUCCAUUAACACAUCUUUUUAAAUAAUUCUUAUUUUCGUAACCUGCUCCCAAAAAGCCGUGGUUUUGUUGCAUUGCCAUAAGCAAUGUAAUAGUGCCUCUUUCUCCACCAUGCAUACACAAAUCUAGAAUUAAGGGGAUUAAAUUAUUCAGUUUUACAGGAGUGAUGCAUAUUCUCAUCAUCCAUUUAUACUGUAAUAAUCUAGACUUUGUUCUAAUGGAUUGGGAAUGGGGGCUGCACAAUGGCACAGUUGGUAGCACUGUUGCCUUGCAGAAAAGAGGUUCAAUAAUAAUAAAAGUGGCAUGCGUGGGUUCUCUCCGGGUGCUCCGGCUUCCUCCCACAAUAAAAACAUGACUGUUUGGUUAAUUGGCGCUGCAUGGUUGAUUGUCCUGUGUGUUGCCCUGGGAUGGAUAGGUAACCUGGACAAUUCCAUGUUGUGAAUUUAAGUCAUAUUUUUUGCACCAUUUAAAAUGAAAACACUGACAACAUAACAUAAACUGUUAAUACAGUUUAUGUAAUAACAGUUUUUACAUAAACUGUUGUUACAUUUAACAUAAACUGUCUGAGAACAUUAACAUAUUCAAACACAAACAUAAACUGUGAAAACAUGUUUAUUUCUUAAUCAAAAUGAAAGAUUUUCUGUGCAGGAUAUGGGAACACAGCAACAUGAUUUUUUAGAAAAUGGUGAACUAACACAAUUCUUUAAGUUCUUUCAGGACUGACUCCAGUGAGAGGUAGUUUACUGCUACAGGCUCAGACUGCAACAGUCUGGGCACUAUUUUCUGUCAAUAGCUAUCUUAUAGACAGAGCACUACUUUCCUAGAUCUCCCUUUUUUAACAUGUGUAAUGUAAACUAACAUUGUAACUAAAUCUGUCUUUCUUCUUUCAGAGGUUUGCUGACAGUUUUGUGUUUGUGUGGUUUUUUAAAUUUUUUUAUUUUUGCCCUCUUGAAGCCAGCCAGUCUCGGCAGAUGGCUGCUCAUCCUGAGCCUGGUUCUGCUGGAGGUUUCUUCCUUUUAAAGGGAGUUUUCCUCUCCACUGUUGCCUUGUGCUUGCUCAGGAUGGGGGAUCCCUUGGAUUAAACAUCCAUCGCGAUCGGCUGGUGACCCCUCUGCAGAAUCGCCACCUUAACGUGGUGGAGGGGUUUGAGUAUCCCUAUGACCCAGAUGGAGAUUUUGUCUUGGGAUUCAGCCAGUAGUGAGGAUUCUCAGGGCAGAUAACCAUUGGGGAGGGAUCAGACUAAGAGCGAUUCAAGGUUUUCAAUGAAGGACUACCAAAGGGAUCAGGUAUUUCUAGGAGACAGACAGUUAUCCCAAGUCCGGAUUUGCAGGAAGUUUCUUCCUAUAAAAAGUACCAGAAUGGGAGGCUCCUAAGGUCACAUAGGGACUUUGGUCUAUUUGGCCCAGGGGCUUCAGUUCAACGUGUGAGCAGUGUAAGACAAGUGGAGAUUUGACACAGACACACAGGAAUGGAAGGUUCUGGCUCAAUACUUGGAGAGGAGCCGCUCAUCCACACUUGAAGGAGGUACACAGCUUUUAGCAGUCACCUACACAUGAAGGGGCCAAUGGGUCCAUGCUUGAAGGAGAACUGCGCAUGACAGAGGGCCAGAAGGAGGCGUGCACAUGUCAGUUCAGCGAUUCCCGGGCAUAUGCCUACAUGUCUGGGCUUCUGCCUACAUGUCUGGGAUGGUGCCCACAUACUCUUGACUUGUGUUUUAAAAAUAAAGGCCUCUAAAGUGCUUAAAAUGGUUA